CAAUUGUUUACUAGUCAUUUCUGAGCUGUCCUCUGUUAAAGCGUCUUUAGCUGUGGGAUUCUCCAUUUCCCCAAGUGAUUCAGUUUCUACCAUUUCAAAGGUCUUGUCCUUGUUGUCCUCCAUUCCUGCCAUUUCACUGAUAUGUGUUUAAAUGAUUCUCAAUUCACAGUAUAAUAUCUCAAACUGCAAAAUAUUGCGACCCAAGAAAUCAGAUAGGCACUGAAUAAUAUCUUAAGGCAGAUAAAUUCCAAAUCACAGCUUUUAUGUGUGACCCAAUACAACCAAUAGUGCAGCUUUUAAUGAAAGCUACUACUGCAGCUUUU
Molecule: long non-coding RNA, 323 nt
Filed under: Mytilus galloprovincialis (Mediterranean mussel)
Lineage: Eukaryota; Metazoa; Mollusca; Bivalvia; Mytilida; Mytilidae
Source: RNAcentral